UACGGAGGGUGCGAGCGUUACUCGGAAUUACUGGGCUUAAAGGGUGCGUAGGCGGCGCGGAAAGUAGGGUGUGAAAUCCCUCGGCUCAACCGAGGAAUUGCGCCCUAAACUACCGUGCUCGAGGGAGAUAGAGGUGAGCGGAACUUAGGGUGGAGCGGUGAAAUGCGUUGAUAUCCUAAGGAACACCGGUGGCGAAAGCGGCUCACUGGAUCUCUUCUGACGCUGAGGCACGAAAGCUAGGGUAGCGAACGGG
This 253-nucleotide ribosomal RNA is filed under the name uncultured bacterium. Its description in RNAcentral is "partial 16S ribosomal RNA". It matches the Rfam family "Bacterial small subunit ribosomal RNA", at positions 524 to 776 of the family's 1533-position model. The record is from RNAcentral.